UCUCCGUAGGUGAACCUGCGGAGGGAUCAUUAAGAAUUGAACAGUAGUGUCUGGCACUGUUGCCCAUUCUAACCCUUUGUGAACCAAACUUGUUGCUUCGGGGGCGACCCUGCCGGCACUCGGUCGCCGGGCGCCCCCGAAGGUCUCCCAACACUGCAUCUUUGCGUCGGAGUUUAAGUAAAUUAAACAAAACUUUCAACAACGGAUCUCUUGGUUCUGGCAUCGAUGAAGAACGCAGC
This 239-nucleotide unclassified non-coding RNA is filed under the name uncultured fungus. Its description in RNAcentral is "sequence contains ITS1, 5.8S rRNA gene". The stretch from base 191 to 239 matches the Rfam family "5.8S ribosomal RNA", at positions 1 to 49 of the family's 154-position model. The record is from RNAcentral. Lineage: Eukaryota; Fungi.